Molecule: ribosomal RNA, 292 nt
Filed under: uncultured fungus
Lineage: Eukaryota; Fungi
Description: partial 18S ribosomal RNA
Rfam family: Eukaryotic small subunit ribosomal RNA
Source: RNAcentral
AUCUAUACAGUGAACUGCGAAUGGCUCAUUAAAUCAGUUAUCGUUUAUUUGAUAGUACCUUACUACUUGAAUAACCGUUGGUAAUUCUAGAGCUAAUACAUGCUAAAAAUCCCGACCUCUGGAAGGGAUGUAUUUAUUAAAUAAAAAACCAAUGCCUUCGGGCUCCUUGGUGAUUCAUGAUAACCUUUACGAAUCGCAUGGCCUUGCGCCGGCGAUGGUUCAUUCAAAUUUCUGCCCUAUCAACUUUCGAUGGUAGGAUAGUGGCCUACCAUGGUUUCAACGGGUAACGGGG